CUAAAGAGGAGGAAGGAAUGGGCAACGGUAGGUCAGCAUGCCCCGAAUUAUCUGGGCUACACGCGGGCUACAAUGGGUGGGACAAUGGGUAUCGACACCGAAAGGUGAAGGCAAUCUCCUAAACCCAUCCGUAGUUCGGAUUGUGGGCUGCAACUCGCCCACAUGAAGCUGGAAUCUGUAGUAAUCGUGUCUCAAAAUGGCAACGGUGAAUAUGUCCCUGCGUCCUU
This 227-nucleotide ribosomal RNA is filed under the name uncultured Methanomicrobiales archaeon. RNAcentral describes it as "partial 16S ribosomal RNA". It matches the Rfam family "Archaeal small subunit ribosomal RNA", at positions 1114 to 1338 of the family's 1478-position model. Lineage: Archaea; Methanobacteriati; Methanobacteriota; Methanomicrobia; Methanomicrobiales. The record is from RNAcentral.